CAUUAGAGUGUUCAACGCAGGCAGAUUCACUUUUCUGCCACCGAAUACAUUAGCAUGGGAUAAUGGAAUAGGACCCUGUCCUCCUUUUUUCAGUUGGUUAAUUCAUGAGAGAGGAACAGGGUAAUGAUUAAUAGGGAUAGUUGGGGGCAUUAAUAUUUAAUUGUCAGAGGUGAAAUUCUUGGAUUUAUGAAAGAUUAACUUCUGCGAAAGCAUCUGCCAAGGAUGUUUUCAUUAAUCAAGAACGAAAGUUAGGGGAUCGAAGACGAUCAGAUACCGUCGUAGUCUUAACCAUAAACGAUGCCGACCAGCGAUUAGGAGACGUUGAAUACAAAACACCUCUAUAUAUAAUUCAGUAUAUGGCUAGCAAUGGCUGUAUAUUGUUUGUGUAUAGUUACGGUGAAUGACUCCCCUAGAGCUUGUGAGACCAA
RNAcentral lists this ribosomal RNA (428 nucleotides) under Acanthamoeba sp. TW82. RNAcentral's name for it is "SSU rRNA". The stretch from base 1 to 362 matches the Rfam family "Eukaryotic small subunit ribosomal RNA", at positions 764 to 1113 of the family's 1831-position model. Lineage: Eukaryota; Discosea; Longamoebia; Acanthamoebidae. The record is from RNAcentral.